GAUGAACGCUGGCGGCGUGCUUAACACAUGCAAGUCGAACGAAGCACUUUAUUUGAUUUCCUUCGGGACUGAUUAUUUUGUGACUGAGUGGCGGACGGGUGAGUAACGCGUGGGUAACCUGCCUUGUACAGGGGGAUAACAGUUGGAAACGGCUGCUAAUACCGCAUAAGCGCACAGCAUCGCAUGAUGCAGUGUGAAAAACUCCGGUGGUAUAAGAUGGGCCCGCGUUGGAUUAGCUAGUUGGUGAGGUAACGGCCCACCAAGGCGACGAUCCAUAGCCGACCUGAGAGGGUGACCGGCCACAUUGGGACUGAGACACGGCCCAAACUCCUACGGGAAGCAGCAGUGGGGAAUAUUGCACAAUGGGCGAAAGCCUGAUGCAGCGACGCCGCGUGAGCGAAGAAGUAUUUCGGUAUGUAAAGCUCUAUCAGCAGGGAAGAUAAUGACGGUACCUGACUAAGAAGCACCGGCUAAAUACGUG
RNAcentral lists this ribosomal RNA (481 nucleotides) under uncultured bacterium. Its description in RNAcentral is "partial 16S ribosomal RNA". It matches the Rfam family "Bacterial small subunit ribosomal RNA", at positions 28 to 507 of the family's 1533-position model. The record is from RNAcentral.